RNAcentral lists this ribosomal RNA (853 nucleotides) under Pseudocercospora madagascariensis. RNAcentral describes it as "eukaryotic LSU rRNA". It matches the Rfam family "Eukaryotic large subunit ribosomal RNA", at positions 61 to 946 of the family's 3401-position model. Lineage: Eukaryota; Fungi; Ascomycota; Dothideomycetes; Mycosphaerellales; Mycosphaerellaceae. The record is from RNAcentral.
GAAACCAACAGGGAUUGCCCUAGUAACGGCGAGUGAAGCGGCAACAGCUCAAAUUUGAAAUCUGGCGUAAGCCCGAGUUGUAAUUUGUAGAGGAUGCUUCUGGGUAGCGGCCGGUCUAAGUUCCUUGGAACAGGACGUCAUAGAGGGUGAGAAUCCCGUAUGUGACUGGCUUGCACCCUCCACGUAGCUCCUUCGACGAGUCGAGUUGUUUGGGAAUGCAGCUCUAAAUGGGAGGUAAAUUUCUUCUAAAGCUAAAUACCGGCCAGAGACCGAUAGCGCACAAGUAGAGUGAUCGAAAGAUGAAAAGCACUUUGGAAAGAGAGUUAAAAAGCACGUGAAAUUGUUGAAAGGGAAGCGCCCGCAACCAGACUUUGCGGCGGUGUUCGGCUGGUCUUCUGACCGGUUUACUCGCCGCCGUGAGGCCAUCAUCGUCUGGGACCGCUGGAUAAGACCUGAGGAAUGUAGCUCCCUUCGGGGUGUGUUAUAGCCUCUGGUGAUGCAGCGCGUCUCGGGCGAGGUCCGCGCUUCGGCAAGGAUGAUGGCGUAAUGGUUGUCGGCGGCCCGUCUUGAAACACGGACCAAGGAGUCUAACAUCUAUGCGAGUGUUCGGGUGUCAAACCCCUACGCGUAAUGAAAGUGAACGGAGGUGGGAACUUUUUGUGCACCAUCGACCGAUCCUGAUGUCCUCGGAUGGAUUUGAGUAAGAGCAUAGCUGUUGGGACCCGAAAGAUGGUGAACUAUGCCUGAAUAGGGUGAAGCCAGAGGAAACUCUGGUGGAGGCUCGCAGCGGUUCUGACGUGCAAAUCGAUCGUCAAAUUUGGGUAUAGGGGCGAAAGACUAAUCGAACCAUCUA